This 460-nucleotide ribosomal RNA is filed under the name uncultured bacterium. Its description in RNAcentral is "partial 16S ribosomal RNA". It matches the Rfam family "Bacterial small subunit ribosomal RNA", at positions 338 to 795 of the family's 1533-position model. The record is from RNAcentral.
CCUACGGGUGGCAGCAGUGAGGAAUAUUGGUCAAUGGACGAGAGUCUGAACCAGCCAAGUAGCGUGAAGGAUGACUGCCCUAUGGGUUGUAAACUUCUUUUAUAAAGGAAUAAAACGAGGCACGUGUGCCUUUUUGCAUGUACUUUAUGAAUAAGGAUCGGCUAACUCCGUGCCAGCAGCCGCGGUAAUACGGAGGAUCCGAGCGUUAUCCGGAUUUAUUGGGUUUAAAGGGAGCGUAGAUGGGUUGUUAAGUCAGUUGUGAAAGUUUGCGGCUCAACCGUAAAAUUGCAAUUGAUACUGGCAGUCGUGAGUACAGAUGAGGUAGGCGGAAUGCGUGGUGUAGCGGUGAAAUGCUUAGAUAUCACGAAGAACCCCGAUUGCGAAGGCAGCUUACUAAACUGUGACUGACAUUGAUGCUCGAAAGUGUGGGUAUCAAACAGGAUUAGAUACCCUAGUAGUC